This 497-nucleotide ribosomal RNA is filed under the name uncultured bacterium. RNAcentral's name for it is "partial 16S ribosomal RNA". It matches the Rfam family "Bacterial small subunit ribosomal RNA", at positions 28 to 507 of the family's 1533-position model. The record is from RNAcentral.
GAUGAACGCUGGCGGCGUGCCUAAUACAUGCAAGUCGAGCGAACAGAUAAGGAGCUUGCUCCUUUGACGUUAGCGGCGGACGGGUGAGUAACACGUGGAUAACCUACCUAUAAGACUGGGAUAACUUCGGGAAACCGGAGCUAAUACCGGAUAACAUAUUGAACCGCAUGGUUCAAUAGUGAAAGGCGGCUUUGCUGUCACUUAUAGAUGGAUCCGCGCCGUAUUAGCUAGUUGGUAAGGUAACGGCUUACCAAGGCAACGAUACGUAGCCGACCUGAGAGGCGGAUCGGCCACACGGGAACUGGGACACGGUCCAGACUCCUACGGGAGGCAGCAGUAGGGAAUCUUCCGCAAUGGGCGAAAGCCUGACGGAGCAACGCCGCGUGAGUGAUGAAGGUCUUCGGAUCGUAAAACUCUGUUAUGAGGGAAGAACAAAUGUGUAAGUAACUGUGCACAUCUUGACGGUACCUGAUCAGAAAGCCACGGCUAACUACGUG